This 519-nucleotide ribosomal RNA is filed under the name uncultured eukaryote. RNAcentral describes it as "SSU rRNA". It matches the Rfam family "Eukaryotic small subunit ribosomal RNA", at positions 1161 to 1701 of the family's 1831-position model. The record is from RNAcentral.
AGGGCACCACCAGGAGUGGAGCCUGCGGCUUAAUUUGACUCAACACGGGGAAACUUACCAGGUCAAAACAUGGAUGGGAUUGACAGAUUGAAAGCUCUUUCUUGAUUCUAUGGGUGGUGGUGCAUGGCCGUUCUUAGUUGGUGGAGUGAUUUGUCUGGUUAAUUCCGAUAACGAACGAGACCUUAACCUGCUAACUAGUUUGCUUCUGAACAAGAGGUAUAACUUCUUAGAGGGACUAUGUGUUUUAAAUACAUGGAAGUUUAAGGCAAUAACAGGUCUGUGAUGCCCCUAGACGUCCUGGGCCGCACGCGCGCUACACUGACAUGUUCAGCGAGCUAUUUUACCUGUCCCGAAAGGGCACGGGAAAUCUUGUUAGGACAUGUCGUGCUGGGGAUAGAUCUUUGCAAUUAUAGAUCUUGAACGAGGAAUUCCUUGUAAGCACAGGUCAUCAGCCUGUGCUGAAUACGUCCCUGCCCUUUGUACACACCGCCCGUCGCUCCUACCGAUUUCGAGUGAUGU